CCCUUAGAUGUCCUGGGCCGCACGCGCGUUACACUGAUGCAUUCAACGAGCUUAUAACCUUGGCCGAGAGGCCUGGGCAAUCUUGUUAACGUGCAUCGUGAUAGGGAUAGAUUAUUGAAAUUAUUAAUCUUGAACGAGGAAUUCCUAGUAAACGCAGAUCAUCAAUCUGCAUUGAUUACGUCCCUGCCCUUUGUACACACCGCCCGUCGCACCUACCGAUUGAAUGGUUUAGUGAGAUCCUUGGAUCGGCCCUGUCGCGGCUGGCAACGGCCGCGUCGGCGCGUCGAGAAGACGAUCAAACUUGAUCAUUUAGAGGAAGUAAAAGUCGUAACA
RNAcentral lists this ribosomal RNA (333 nucleotides) under uncultured eukaryote. Its description in RNAcentral is "partial 18S ribosomal RNA". It matches the Rfam family "Eukaryotic small subunit ribosomal RNA", at positions 1470 to 1796 of the family's 1831-position model. The record is from RNAcentral.